AUGAAGAACGUAGCGAAAUGCGAUAAGUAAUGUGAAUUGCAGAAUUCAGUGAAUCAUCGAAUCUUUGAACGCACAUUGCGCCCGCCAGUAUUCUGGCGGGCAUGCCUGUCUGAGCGUCAUUUCAACCCUCAUGCCCCUAGGGCGUGGUGUUGGGGAUCGGCCAAAGCCCGCGAGGGACGGCCGGCCCCUAAAUCUAGUGGCGGACCCGUCGUGGCCUCCUCUGCGAAGUAGUGAUAUUCCGCAUCGGAGAGCGAUGAGCCCCUGCCGUUAAACCCCCAACUUUCCAAGGUUGACCUCAGAUCAGGUAGGAAUACCCGCUGAACUUAAGCAUAUCAAUAAGCGGAGG
This 346-nucleotide unclassified non-coding RNA is filed under the name soil metagenome. RNAcentral's name for it is "partial contains 5.8S ribosomal RNA, internal transcribed spacer 2, and large subunit ribosomal RNA". The stretch from base 1 to 119 matches the Rfam family "5.8S ribosomal RNA", at positions 36 to 154 of the family's 154-position model. The record is from RNAcentral.